This 68-nucleotide transfer RNA is filed under the name Rhodocyclaceae bacterium. RNAcentral describes it as "tRNA-OTHER". The record is from RNAcentral. Lineage: Bacteria; Pseudomonadati; Pseudomonadota; Betaproteobacteria; Rhodocyclales; Rhodocyclaceae.
UCCCUAGAGGGGCAUUUCGCGGACUGUUAAUCCGUAGGUCCCUGGUUCGAGCCCAGGUCGGGGAGCCA